GGAAUAUUGGUCAAUGGGGGCAACCCUGAUCUAGCCAUGCCGCGUGAGUGAUGAAGGCCUUAGGGUUGUAAAGCUCUUUCAGCUGUGAAGAUAAUGACGGUAGCAGCAGAAGAAGUCCCGGCUAACUCCGUGCCAGCAGCCGCGGUAAUACGGAGGGGACUAGCGUUGUUCGGAAUUACUGGGCGUAAAGCGCACGUAGGCGGAUCGGAAAGUUGGGGGUGAAAUCCCGGGGCUCAACCCCGGAACUGCCUUCAAAACUAUCGGUCUGGAGGUCGAGAGAGGUGAGUGGAAUUCCGAGUGUAGAGGUGAAAUUCGUAGAUAUUCGGAGGAACACCAGUGGCGAAGGCGGCUCACUGGCUCGAUACUGACGCUGAGGUGCGAAAGCGUGGGGAGCAAA
This 397-nucleotide ribosomal RNA is filed under the name uncultured bacterium. RNAcentral's name for it is "bacterial SSU rRNA". It matches the Rfam family "Bacterial small subunit ribosomal RNA", at positions 358 to 772 of the family's 1533-position model. The record is from RNAcentral.